This 107-nucleotide ribosomal RNA is filed under the name Cognatilysobacter bugurensis. Lineage: Bacteria; Pseudomonadati; Pseudomonadota; Gammaproteobacteria; Lysobacterales; Lysobacteraceae. The record is from RNAcentral.
GGUGAAAAUAGCUGUGUGGCACCACCCGAUCCCAUCCCGAACUCGGAAGUGAAACGCACAUGCGCCGAUGGUAGUGUGGCCUAAGCCAUGCAAGAGUAGGUCAUCGC